UAGGGAAUCUUCGGCAAUGGACGAAAGUCUGACCGAGCAACGCCGCGUGAGUGAAGAAGGUUUUCGGAUCGUAAAACUCUGUUGUUAGAGAAGAACAAGGACGUUAGUAACUGAACGUCCCCUGACGGUAUCUAACCAGAAAGCCACGGCUAACUACGUGCCAGCAGCCGCGGUAAUACGUAGGUGGCAAGCGUUGUCCGGAUUUAUUGGGCGUAAAGCGAGCGCAGGCGGUUUCUUAAGUCUGAUGUGAAAGCCCCCGGCUCCACCGGGGAGGGUCAUUUGUAACUGGGCGACUUGAGUGCAGAAGAGGGUAGUGGAAUUCCAUGUGUAGCGGUGUAAUGCGUAGAUAUAUGGCGGAACACCAGUGGCGAAGGCGUCUCUCUGGUCUGUAACUGACGCUGAGGCUCGAAAGCGUGUGGAGCAAACAGG
RNAcentral lists this ribosomal RNA (429 nucleotides) under Gemmatimonadota bacterium. RNAcentral's name for it is "Gemmatimonadetes bacterium partial 16S ribosomal RNA". It matches the Rfam family "Bacterial small subunit ribosomal RNA", at positions 355 to 776 of the family's 1533-position model. The record is from RNAcentral. Lineage: Bacteria; Pseudomonadati; Gemmatimonadota.